Molecule: long non-coding RNA, 1172 nt
Filed under: Marmota monax (woodchuck)
Lineage: Eukaryota; Metazoa; Chordata; Mammalia; Rodentia; Sciuridae
Source: RNAcentral
GUUGAAUUCCCACAAUUCCCAGCCGGCCAGAGAUCCCGCCUCCUGUUGACGUAGAGCCUUCCGAUUGGCUGCUGUGGGUGCGGACGCGCCGCUCUGGCGGUGCGGGAACCUGAGGCCUGGCGGUCGCCAUGAUAAACCUCGGAGCCACGGUGCUUCUUUGCUGCGUGCCUCUCGGUCGCCUCCUGUGCCUGUCACUGGCCUUGUUUGGGACCCUCGCCAACAAACUUAACGUGCCGCAGGUGUUGCUGCCCUUUGGCCGGGAGCCAGGCCGGGUGCCUUUCCUGCUGGAGGCACAGCGGGGCUGCUACAUCUGGUGAGGGAUGGUGGGGUCUGUCCUCACGCACCCCGUCCCUCCCAGCGAGGACGGAGCGCGGCUCCGUGAGAUCCCACAGGAGCGCUGCGCGGUCGCCGGGCGUGACAGGCCCACCUUCUGCGUGGGGUGUGCCCUACCCGCGCGAGAGCUGUUGGGUCAGGAAACGGGUUGGUUCCGGGAGGGAAGGUCCCCUGCGGCUGCUCCCCACAGAGGGUCUGGAACCCCGCGGAACCAAGCGCUUUUCCUGGGUUAACCGACCGACUUUGUUCAGUCUGGAGCAGUACUGUUGGUCCCCAGUUUAUGAGGAAACCGGCGCUCGAGGCCACGAAGGGUAAAGCCUCCUGGAAGACCAUCUGGUGUGGAGGGGAGAGCUGCCCGGGACAUGAAAGUUGUCGCCCUUAUUCAAGGAGCCUCGCCGGAAAUUUGAGGACAAGGGGUUCUCAACUCUGGAAUAUUGAGUGACCUUGACUAAAGAUGGAAAGACGUGAUUUUGUGGUGUGAGAGAAAAACCUAUUAAGUUCUGUGGUUAUCCAAGCAGUGAGGGAACCCAACUAAAGUGAGCUCUAAGACACCAGAGCAUUCAUUCUAAAUGGAGUAGAUUUCCCUUUACUGUUUCUUAAAAGAAGCAAUGAGGUGUUUUCCAAGAAAUUCACCUUUCAUUUUAUGAGGAAGUAAGGGAAUUAGGCUUAUAAAGUGACCCAGUGUGAUGUAUUUCCUGACUCAGAGGAUGAUGAAAGGAAUCUUCCCAGAAUUCAAAACUAUUUCUUCCGUCCUUCCAGAAAUAUUAAUUAAUUUUUUUGGCAUUUUGUGUUGGAUUCACACCUCAUUAUUUAGCCAACUUUUCCAUCUAAGAUAGCAG